GCGGCGACCGGGAAGAGCUGGGUUCCGCGGCUGCAGGCUUGCCAGGCCCUGCCCCGUCCUCCCUGGGCUGCAUGCCACGGCAGGCCGCCCGGGUGCCCUGAGCCGGGACCUCGCCUGUGAAGGGGCCACCGUUGGCAGGUCAGGCAGAUGGAGAACAUGAUGUGUAAGGUGAAGUGACAGGGCCAAGGUGGCAGAGCAGAGCGGGGCCUGGAGCUGGGUCCUCUCUCCCGCAUCCAUCCCACGGCCUCUGCUCUGGCCACACGGAAGGGGGCUUCAGGGUCUGAGUCUGCAGGACCUAGUUUUGGCUGAGAUGUAUCCUCGGAGAAUGAACCCCUCCUGAAGUCGCAUGCAGCCGUCUGUUUCGUGAUCCUGUCUCUCCGGCUUCAGAGCCUCAGAUGAUGGUUUACUGUGCCUUGUCCACUUCCGAGAGCUGCACCCAGGCCGACCUUACCCACCAGAAGCGCUUGGUAAAUCCUGUGGAAGGAGUCGGUGGAUUCAACGCCAGGUUCACGAAGCUUGCCAUGGGUUAAAGAGGUGGGUGGGGAAGCCCAGCUGGGCGGUGGACCCUGAGGAUCUGCCAGGAAGACGUCCAGACACAGAAGGAGGAAGGCCUCCGUACUUCAUGUGAUCCGUCCCCCUGACAGCGGGGCGUUGCAGCUUCUGGAGUCCCAGACGCAGCUCAUCCUGAGGGCGCCUCGAGGAUCUUGGAGCCUGAUGCAGGACUCGAUCCCGGGACUCCAGGAUUACGACCCGAGCCAAAGGCAGUCGCCCAAACGGCGCUGCCCAGGAGCCCCUACAUGUAUCUUUCAACAUUGAUAUUCUCUGUAUAUCUAUCCCUGGAAUAUUGUCCUUUCUUCCUCCUUUUUUUCUGGUUUUAGACAUAAAAAAGUCUGUUACACACACACACACACACACACACACACACACCUACCACGUACUGAGGAACUUACUGAUCCAGGUUCCUGUACUUUGCAUAAUCACUGCUGAGGACUUUGCAGUAGGGAACAGAAUUUGGUACCUGGGCACGGAGAGCGAGCUACAGGUGUGGAAUUCCAGCAUCUCAUCAUGUUAGAGAACUGGGCUAAAGCGAUGAUACGCGGAGUGAGGUUGCGGACCUCUCCUGGUCUGCCAACUGUUUACAGGUCUGUGACCAGAAAGUAUACACGUUGGAAAUACAUGUUUAGGAACUUCUUUAGGAAUUUGACAUUUUAAUGACAUCCGAGAGUAGAUCCUGUGGACUUGUCAUCUGUUUUACAAAACGCACUGGGAAGAGGCCCAAAGCCUGGUCCUUCACUGCGCAUGGCUUGGGAAAGACUGGAAGGAGGAACUCACCUAAAGCUUUUGGGCAUGCCAUGAGCCACACCUAGAAACCCAAGACAACAACUGGAAAAUUGCCAUACAAUGGAUGCAUAUUUAAAAAAACAAUCAGUAAUAUUCCUAUAUACAAGUAGCAGCUCCUCAGAAAGUACAAUGGAAGAAAAGAUUGCUUUUACUGUGCAAAAUAAAGGAGGACACCCAGGGAUAAACUCAAAAAAAUGUGCAAAAUCUGUAUGAUUUCCUCUCUCUCAGAACUAGAAGACACCAAAAAUUUUCUUGAUAAAAUCAAGGUUACGAAGGACCCCGACUCACUUCAGAGUAGGCCUAGAGGACAUCCAAGCGAGCCGCGGUGCGGUUCUGGGAGCUCAUGGCUUCUUGCAGAGACGUACGAACACACGCACGUCUGUCUCCUCGGACCUGCCUAUUCUAGAUACUUCUGUAAAUGGAGUCAUACAGUAGUCUUUGUGUCUGGCUGGCUCCUUUCGCUGAACAUCACGUUUUCAGGGCUCAUCCAUGUUCUGGCUUGAGUCAACACGUCAUUCCUCUUUGUAGCCGAAUAGUAUUCCAUUGUAUGGAUAGACCACAUUUUGCUUAAUGUGCGUCUGCUGAUGAACACUAGGGCUGUGUCUUCCUUUUGGCUCUUAAGAAUAACACUGCUGUGAACAUGUACCUACAAGUAUUUGAGGCCCUGUGUGCAAUUCUUCCGAGUAUAUAGCUGGGACUGCCAACUGCUGGGUCACACGGAAAUUCCAUUUCAACUUUCCGAGAAACUGCCAGGGUGUUUUGCACAGCGGCCACACCUUUCUACAUUUCCAACAGCAAUGUACGGAGGGUUCCAGCUUCUGGACAUCCUCGCUAGCACUUGCUAGUUUCCAUUUUAAAAAAUAUCCAUCCUUGUAGGUGCGAGGUGGAGUCUCACUGUAUUUUGAUUUGCAUUUCCCUAAUGAUUAAUGAUGUUGAGUAUCUUCUCAUGUGCUGGUUGGUCACCUAUAUGUCUUCCUUGGAGAAA
Long non-coding RNA from Zalophus californianus (California sea lion), 2326 nucleotides. RefSeq lists it as uncharacterized. Lineage: Eukaryota; Metazoa; Chordata; Mammalia; Carnivora; Otariidae. The record is from RefSeq and is a predicted model, not a curated record. The transcript is spliced from 4 exons.